UUCUUUAUCACCGAGUGCUUGCACUCACCGAUAAAGAGUUGAGUGGCGAACGGGUGAGUAACACGUGGGCAACCUGCCCAAAAGUGGGGGAUAACACUUGGAAACAGGUGCUAAUACCGCAUAACCAUAGUUACCGCAUGGUAACUAUGUAAAAGGUGGCUAUGCUACCGCUUUUGGAUGGGCCCGCGGCGCAUUAGCUAGUUGGUGGGGUAAAGGCUUACCAAGGCAAUGAUGCGUAGCCGAACUGAGAGGUUGAUCGGCCACAUUGGGACUGAGACACGGCCCAAACUCCUACGGGAGGCAGCAGUAGGGAAUCUUCCACAAUGGGCGAAAGCCUGAUGGAGCAACGCCGCGUGGGUGAAGAAGGUCUUCGGAUCGUAAAACCCUGUUGUUAGAGAAGAAAGUGCGUGAGAGUAACUGUUCACGUUUCGACGGUAUCUAACCAGAAAGCCACGGCUAACUACGUGCCAGCAGCCGCGGUAAUACGUAGGUGGCAAGCGUUAUCCGGAUUUAUUGGGCGUAAAGGGAACGCAGGCGGUCUUUUAAGUCUGAUGUGAAAGCCUUCGGCUUAACCGGAGUAGUGCAUUGGAAACUGGGAGACUUGAGUGCGGAAGAGGAGAGUGGAACUCCAUGUGUAGCGGUGAAAUGCGUAGAUAUAUGGAAGAACACCAGUGGCGAAAGCGGCUCUCUGGUCUGUA
This 698-nucleotide ribosomal RNA is filed under the name uncultured bacterium. RNAcentral's name for it is "bacterial SSU rRNA". It matches the Rfam family "Bacterial small subunit ribosomal RNA", at positions 71 to 738 of the family's 1533-position model. The record is from RNAcentral.